RNAcentral lists this unclassified non-coding RNA (270 nucleotides) under fungal sp. RNAcentral's name for it is "partial contains 5.8S ribosomal RNA, internal transcribed spacer 2, and large subunit ribosomal RNA". Lineage: Eukaryota; Fungi. The record is from RNAcentral.
CGCACCUUGCGCUCCUUGGUAUUCCGAGGAGCAUGCCUGUUUGAGUGUCAUGAAAUCAUCAACCCUCGAGCGAUCGAGUGGAUUGGACUUGGGGGACUCUGUCGGACUUCAUUGGUCGACUCCCCUUAAAGGCAUUAGCUGGCUUUGUGGGGCUUACGCGGUGUGAUAGUAUUAUUCACCUCCGUAGGGCUUACUUAACGGUUCGGCUCGAUAACAAACCCCUCUGACAAAUUUGGCCUCAAAUCAGGUAGGACUACCCGCUGAACUUAA